Molecule: transfer RNA, 71 nt
Filed under: Marmota monax (woodchuck)
Lineage: Eukaryota; Metazoa; Chordata; Mammalia; Rodentia; Sciuridae
Description: tRNA.Ala
Source: RNAcentral
GGGGUUGUGGCUCGGUGGGAGAGUGCUCACCUAGCACGUGUGAGGCGCUGGGUUCAAUCCUCAGCACCACA